RNAcentral lists this transfer-messenger RNA (363 nucleotides) under Escherichia coli. It matches the Rfam family "transfer-messenger RNA". From Rfam's summary of the family: Bacterial tmRNA, also known as 10Sa RNA or SsrA, is named for its dual tRNA and mRNA-like properties. Its role is to liberate the mRNA from a stalled ribosome. To accomplish this part of the tmRNA is used as a reading frame that ends in a translation stop signal. Lineage: Bacteria; Pseudomonadati; Pseudomonadota; Gammaproteobacteria; Enterobacterales; Enterobacteriaceae. The record is from RNAcentral.
GGGGCUGAUUCUGGAUUCGACGGGAUUUGCGAAACCCAAGGUGCAUGCCGAGGGGCGGUUGGCCUCGUAAAAAGCCGCAAAAAAUAGUCGCAAACGACGAAAACUACGCUUUAGCAGCUUAAUAACCUGCUUAGAGCCCUCUCUCCCUAGCCUCCGCUCUUAGGACGGGGAUCAAGAGAGGUCAAACCCAAAAGAGAUCGCGUGGAAGCCCUGCCUUGGGUUGAAGCGUUAAAACUUAAUCAGGCUAGUUUGUUAGUGGCGUGUCCGUCCGCAGCUGGCAAGCGAAUGUAAAGACUGACUAAGCAUGUAGUACCGAGGAUGUAGGAAUUUCGGACGCGGGUUCAACUCCCGCCAGCUCCACCA